This 72-nucleotide transfer RNA is filed under the name Camelus bactrianus (Bactrian camel). It matches the Rfam family "tRNA". From Rfam's summary of the family: Transfer RNA (tRNA) molecules are approximately 80 nucleotides in length. Their secondary structure includes four short double-helical elements and three loops (D, anti-codon, and T loops). Lineage: Eukaryota; Metazoa; Chordata; Mammalia; Artiodactyla; Camelidae. The record is from Rfam by way of RNAcentral. RNAcentral also lists the same sequence under 1 other name.
GAGGGUAUAGCUCAGUGGUAGAGUGUGUGCUUAGCAUGCAAGAAGUCUUGGGUUCAAUUCCCAGUACCUUCA